GCACCAUUAGCUCAGUUGGUAGAGCAGCUGACUCUUAAUCAGCGGGUCCCAGGUUCGAGCCCUGGAUGGUGUA
This 73-nucleotide transfer RNA is filed under the name Chitinivibrionales bacterium. Its description in RNAcentral is "tRNA-Lys". It matches the Rfam family "tRNA". Rfam says of the family: Transfer RNA (tRNA) molecules are approximately 80 nucleotides in length. The record is from RNAcentral. Lineage: Bacteria; Pseudomonadati; Fibrobacterota; Chitinivibrionia; Chitinivibrionales.